Molecule: transfer RNA, 90 nt
Filed under: Mitsuaria sp. GD03876
Lineage: Bacteria; Pseudomonadati; Pseudomonadota; Betaproteobacteria; Burkholderiales; Sphaerotilaceae
Description: tRNA-Ser
Rfam family: tRNA
About the family: Transfer RNA (tRNA) molecules are approximately 80 nucleotides in length.
Source: RNAcentral
GGAGACGUGGCCGAGUGGUUGAAGGCAGCGGUCUUGAAAACCGCCGAGGGUUCGCGCCCUCCGUGAGUUCGAAUCUCACCGUCUCCGCCA